Molecule: long non-coding RNA, 509 nt
Organism: Lolium rigidum
Lineage: Eukaryota; Viridiplantae; Streptophyta; Magnoliopsida; Poales; Poaceae
Exons: 3
Source: RefSeq, a predicted model, not a curated record
UUACAAGGACUUCCACUGGGUGUUACUAGCAACAACAAUUUGACUGAAUCAGAAGAUGCCGAGUACUCCAACUCCAUUGGAACUGAAGAAAUGAAAUUGCACUCCCUAUCUGCUACAGCAGAGGUGCCUCUUACUCUGCCCAUGAUUGCUGCCACACCAAUACCCCUGGUUGAACAGUCCCGAGAAGUCGGUGAAGAUGCUGGAUCCAAAGGAAAUAAGAAUGGUACAAUAAAUUCAGUUGCUACCACCUUUUGUGUGGCAUCAUUAAGUUCAUAUAUGUGCUUAGCUAACAAUUUACUCCGUCCGUCCCAAAAUAUAAGAUGUUAAUAACAUCUUAUAUCACGUAACUGAGAGAGUACAUUGUAACUACAGUGGAGAAACAGAUCGAAAAAAUCAAUCUAGCCAAAAGAAACUGCUCAUGAAUACCUCAUAAGACAUUGCCUCGUGAAGAUCUUGGAUUUGCGAGGAUUGGAAGAACCUAGCUUGCGCCUUCAUCUACCAAUAGUUAC